AUCCCUCUCUAAUCUCUUUCUAAUCAAGGUUUUCUGUUUUUAUAUCAAAAAGUCAGCGCCGACGCAUAAAAACCACAACGAGACUAGUACCGGUACGUUUUGAGCCAUAGAAUAUAUUGAUAUCUCCUUAUAAGGGUGCUAAUAGUUUAUAGUUAUCGGCACAGCUGGGUCAGUUGUGAUAAGUCCUCCACUACCGAAUUAAAGGUAUGUCUAUAAACGUCUACACACUAGUGGUUAAGUGGUAAGCAUCGCACUCCAGAUAUAAGCACUCCACUAGGCAAUGAGCGACUUCACAAACAGUGCUGUCCGUUCUGCUGGUCUGCUUGCUGCGGAGGUGCAGGGUUUGUUAGUCAGCGUGACGGACAUUUUAUGAUGAGGAGUUCUCGUUAGGGAGAAGGACCUCGGACAUCGAUAUCGCGACGCGAAAGCGGUACGUAGCGAGCCAACGGUUCGACGAGCGGAACGAGCUCGACGAACCGCGCGCUCUCCCUGCGUAACGACCGGAAGUUCGUUCGGCGGUUGCUGUGGAUGCUGCAGGAGCGGAGCACCGUUUCUGCCGUGUUUCUAACAACGGCCACCACCCCGCAGUGGACGUCGUUCCUUUGGCCGGUACACUAGCUCGGACUGAAACCAAUGUGGGAAAACCUGCCGUUCUAUUCGGGAAGGGACGAAAGAGAGCUCGUAGACCUCAUGGAUUUAGAGUUGAGGUGGUUGGAUGAACCUGGUCUGCCAUGAAGAAACAAGGGUCUUAAGAACACAAGAGAUUCGUUGAACUCCGUAGAGCUAGAGAGUACCUGUGACAAGAGACCAUCUAACGGACGAGUCGAACGGUUGGAAAGUUUAAACCUCAUGGAGCUAGAGAGUAUAUGUGUCAAGAGACCAUCUAACGGACGAGUCGAACGUUUGGAAAGUUUAAACCUCAUGGAGCUAGAGAGUAUAUGUGUCAAGAGACCAUCUAACGGACGAGUCGAACGUUUGGAAAGUUUAAACCUCAUAGACCUAGAGAGUAAGUGUAGGGACCUGCCCAGAUUACCAAAGUAAAGAACAUUUUUGAACUCUGUAGAGCCAGAGUCUCGGUGUGGUAACAGACCAUCUGAUGGAGGAGUCAAAAAGUAGGAAAGUUUCAACCUCAUAGAGCUGGAGAAGCUUUGAUCGUACAGCCCAUAUGACGGUGGAGUCGAGCCUUUGGAAAGUUUGAACGCUGUGGAACUGGAGCCAAUGUACGUUCUAUAUGUGUAUAGUCUAUAGAGUACCAAUUGAGUAGAGGUAAAGGACCUUAUACAACUGUACUCAAUAUACUUAGACUCGUCGCGCCUAUACAAAGAGCACCGGUUGUGUUAGGGUAGAGACUUUCGGGAAUAAGAACAGUUGACGAGUGAAGGUUUACGUUUGGUCAGCGAAUGCGUACAUUUGGAGUGUUUUGAUCUCGUCGAACUAGAGAGGUCAUUAAUAAACCCGGUGGCUUAACUUUGUACAACCAAGACCUUGGAUUGUUCGUAGUUCCUUGAUUGUGAGCUAAGUUGGAUAGAAAUACCAGGUAAGGGACUACACGAUCCUCCAUACUAAAGAGAGGUCGCCGACCUUAAAUGGUUGUUGCCAUUAAGUCGGUGUUACUGUCACCUGAACUUUUUAGAUACACUAGAUCUCUCGGAUUUGGAGCUACCCUCAGAACGCAAACGCCUGGAUUGUCUGAAGCACUACUUUGACGGUGUUACAAGUAGGUUGUUUAACGCCAAGAACUCGAGUUUAGUGUUGUUAUACCGUCCUUACGACGGUCUAUCCCACCCCGUGAAGUGGUCGAACUUCAUGGAAGUGGAAAUAUUAUUGUCGUAAUGACCUCGAUAUGGUUGAUCCAAUCACUUAACAUGAUAAAACGUAAGUGAGCGAGAGCCAAACUUGGUUGAUUCACCGGUCUAUGGUUGUAACGGCUCUUCGGAGUCACUUCACCUGGACAGGUACUUGUCGAACAGUCCUGGAAACGGUAGUCUAAAACCUCGAGGUAUGGAAUGUCAUGAUUCAGAUAGGAGGUUAAUGUAGUGACCAAUGCAAGGAUCUAGAUAGACACUCAACGUUUUGGAUUAAAAGAACCUAAACAGGGUCUUAUCCAAACGCCCUCUUAAAGGGUCCACAAGAAGCUACGGUUUGAACCGUAAGGACGUGAAUUCAUUGUUAUCGAAGAGGCCCUCAAAAGGAGGUAACGAGGUUUUGACACGUUUGAACAAAAGGGAACUAGAACGUUACUUGCUCAAGCUACCUCGUGAUGGUCAUACCUAGCCUCUGGAUCACUUGAACGCCAAAGACGUCGAUUUGGUAUUUUACAAGAUACCCGUAUAAGGUCGAUUGUAGUGUUCAGAACAUGAUGAAGUUGAUAAGUCAAACCGCUCGUUAUUAUAUAGUCCUAGUUAAGGCAGCAGGAACAGAUUUAAUUAUCGAUACUGGGACUUUGUAGGCGGCUCUGAACUUAGUUACAACAAAUUUCCGUGAGUGCGCCACCUAUAAAACAGGCAACACUACUACUUCGUCGUUCUCGAAUUCAAGUCCCCACUACGUCAAUAAUUGUACCAUUCGUAACUAAACAGUGAGUUGGUGAACUGGCCACUUUAAGGUCUACUCUAUUGAAGAGACUUGCCUGACAACUCAAACUUAAAUAGUACCUUAGUGGACUCGGUGUUUUAGGGACACUUCUAACCCCUAUACUUUAGUGACCUUAGUGAGCUGAACAGUUCCUUGUUAUAGAGACCACUUUAGGGUUGUUCGGAGAGUCUAAACUGUAUAAAUUCGAGGAACCUGAACAGUAUGUUGUUAGAACGUCCUUCUUAAGGUUGUCCGGCAGUUGACCUGUGAGACAUACGUCUUCUAGGCAGUUACAUACUACCGUUGUCAGCGGAAACACCCGGAGUAGAAGUUUCCUUAACGAGUCCGUUGUCAGGUGACCUCGCAUCCUUAGUCGUCUCUUCACUUUUACGAAUACUGGGUCACUACAAGAAGAUGUAACCCGAUUGCAGGCCCAAACACCAGCCCGAGACCGAACACAAGACACGAGAUGACAAGUUUUCCCGCACCGCUGUACGGAUAAAAGCGGAGAAGCUGUUCGAUACAGUGUUCCACAUGCACAAACAACAACAAUAAACCCCGGCCUAUUUGUGGUUCCGCUGACGUUCAACUCACUACACGAUUAGCUCAUUACGGCCACCGUGAGAUAACGAGACGAGGUACCUAUAUUGCACUUCUUCAUAAAUCGUCGAACAUGUUCACACACAAAGACACAUAUAUGAACACUAUACUUGAAAAAAGAAGACCACGUAUAUUGACAAUAACCAAACAUGAGCAACCAGUACUACUUGGACCGUGCACUAAAACCAAAGGUCGAGUCAAAACAAAGUACAGCUACCAAACUACAAAACAUUAUGACUUGACGUGAUCGUCUCACAGGACAUGAUAAAACACGUUGAACUAUAUAACAUAAACACGC
RNAcentral lists this ribosomal RNA (3472 nucleotides) under Triticum aestivum (bread wheat). RNAcentral's name for it is "partial small subunit ribosomal RNA". Lineage: Eukaryota; Viridiplantae; Streptophyta; Magnoliopsida; Poales; Poaceae. The record is from RNAcentral.